Molecule: non-coding RNA, 85 nt
Organism: Lupinus albus (white lupine)
Lineage: Eukaryota; Viridiplantae; Streptophyta; Magnoliopsida; Fabales; Fabaceae
Source: the annotation of a GenBank genome assembly
UAGCUGUGAAGAUAUUUGUGCUAAAUGUGAUAGAUGGGUCUGUCCAAAUGUCUUAUUUAUAGACAAAAUGAGCACAUCUGAGCUC